This 3770-nucleotide long non-coding RNA is filed under the name Lupinus angustifolius (narrow-leaved blue lupine). RNAcentral describes it as "long non-coding RNA (LANG_LNC002896)". The record is from RNAcentral. Lineage: Eukaryota; Viridiplantae; Streptophyta; Magnoliopsida; Fabales; Fabaceae.
AAAUAUUUAUCUAUUUUUUUCCUAAUCUAAUUAAUUAUUUGUACAUACUCAUCCAUUUUCUUAUGUAGUUUUUUGGGUUGAAAUUUAUUUUUAAUAAAGGUUUGUACACUUUCUCAAACACAAUCACAAUAUGCUUGCUUACACAUACAUAUAUCGUAAACCUGGAUAUUACUGAUUUUGAGAUAGAGGGAACAUCUCUGUUGAUGUUUUCCACACUCUUUCCAUUUCAGUUAUUUUUGCUUUGCCUAUCAAGAAAGCCAUCGACCAAUUCUUUUGCAAAUCUUUUCAUAACUUUGGUAGGCAAGCAAAUUAGUACUACCAUGCCAUCUUCCCCUCUUGAAUUUUUACUCAAGACAUGGUAGUGUGCUCCAAAAAAGGAACCUGCUCCAGCUUUAGCUUGUCCACCAUAUAAAGACUUACCCCAUCCAAAAUCCACAUCUCUAUACCCAAGACGUGUUACAUCUGAUACAAUGCUAGUUCCAGGUAUUGUAAAUAAGGGUCGUUUCUUAAUAACCAUUAAAUCUGCCAAAGAAUGCAUAUAUUCUUCAGUCACCUCAACCUUUGUUUUUUUAAUCAAUUCCACUGCAUACUCAAAUGGGUUUUCACUGAGAUUGUGUACUGUAGUGACUGCUGCAGGGUAUGCAAUACAAUUUCCAUAAUAACCAAUAGGUAAUAUAGGGUUAAACUUAGAACGUGCGUUGACGAUGCACAUCAUUCGAACAACCUCGUGUGAUUCCAAUUGCAGUGCUUUUGUUCGACAAAGCCAUACAUAUGCUGUAAGAACCUCAAAAGUGGUGCAUCGACCAAAAUGAGUGGGAAGCAAGCCAUGAAUUGCUGCUAUCUCAUUGGGUCCAAAGAAGAAAGAUUUGUGAACCAAGUUACCGUUAUCAUCGGAUGAUGGAACUUUGAUGGAGUCAGUACUAGGUACUUCCUCGUAUUCACGAUGAUUGCAUGUAAUACAAGGUGGAUUCCUUGCACAUAGGAGUUCUCUAUCCCACACAGGUGAGAUUGAAAGUUCAUCUAAACCUCGAGCCAUUUCUGACAAGGCGGUCAUGAAUUGUAAUAUGCCAACUCCAUCAAUCAUUGUGUGAUUAAACCGCAUGCCAACGAUGAAACCACCACACUUGAGGCGUGUAACCUGUCAUUUAAAAUCCACUACCAAUAUUAUCGAUAUGGGAGAUUAAUGAACAAGUCAAGCAACCACAAUAGCAACAUGUAUUAUUUAUCAUUGUAUCUUCAUUUAACUAUUAUUCUAGUUCUUAGUCUGAUAAGUUUACAACUACAACUAAAACUUUAUCUAUAGAUAUAUAUAUCGAAAAUAUUCCUGAAAUCAAAACGGCGAGAGAUAUAGUGCUAAGUUCGAGAAAUAGUUUGAAUGAUAGAUAUUUAUAGUUUAAUGGUUGGAUCCAUAAAAAUGAUUAUGUAAAAAGUUAGAGUGGUCUGUCUUAUAUAUAGUUGAUACUUCCACCUCCUCUAUAUAAUAUAUUUAUAUAUUAUUAUAUAAUUUUUCUUUAUUCCGGUAUAUAUCACCUACAUAACUAUGAAAUUAACCUUCCACCUAGGGAUGGUAAGUGAGACUCACAAAUUCGAAAGUCUAACCCGGCAAUAAAUAUUUGUUUGAGCGUAGUGGACUAUCUCCUUCGUUAACCACUUUUGAUUACAUCUAUGUCUACUGUUUUGCUAUAGGUUUACAUUAAUUUGAACAAUAAUGUGUAUUUAUAUUUGUACAAUUAUAAUAAAUAAACUGCAUAUAUGUAUAACGAUGUGAGUAAAAUAUGGUUUGUAACUCUCUACCUCAACUACAUAUGAGUCUUCAAAUAACAUAAUUAAAUUUUGAAUUUUCACAAAGUUGAAAACUUGAAAUAUUUUUUCUACUAUUCUCUUUGCUAAUUAAGAAGUGGAAAUUAAAAGAGAAAUAUAGUGGUAGACCUGUAUUAGCAGAAGGGGAGUGUGAAGAAUUCCUUCUGAGCCUGGAACAUCAUUAAGGAGUUCUUCAAAACAUGGAAAAGGAGGUUGAAGAGAAUCACCAAAUUGCUCAAGUGUUACAUCUGCAUCAGCCUCAACAAACAACACACCUUCUUCAUUACAAUCCACCAUGAGUUUUCGGUCAGCACCUUCCCUAAGUCUACCUGCAAAUGGGUAGUAGAACACAAGUGUUUGUGCAAGUGCUUGUCUAAUGACUUCAACUGGGUCUUUUCCUUCCAUUGAAGGUUCAUUACGGUAGAUUUGUACGAAUGGAAUUUGGAUACGCAAACCUUGUUGGUCAUCUAUGUCAGAAAGUGGCUUGAUUUCAUGAGGAGUAGGCUUAGCGGGAGUUACAUACUCUGGUUGGUGUCUCCUAACAGUGAAUAUUAGACAGGGAGGAGGAGCCAUAUCUUGGGAAAAAGCCAUAGUGAAAUUAGAGAAUAUCACAUAUGAGUGAGUGUCACAUGCAUUGCAUGGGGCUAAACUGCUAGAAUUUAUAAUGGAGCAUGAGAUAAUGAAUUUAGUAGUAUUAUCAAGGGUAUCUCCUCACCUUUUGGGUAAGGAACUAAUCUUCUUUUAGAUUAUAUGGUUGUCCAUCUCAAUAAGUAUCACUCACAUGAAUCAAACCAUUGACUUUUUACUCCUCUGGGAGUCUAGUAGAAUUUUAUAUCACUAAAUUAACAUAUUGUAGAAUGAAUUAAUCAUUAAUUAGAAAGGCUCUAAGUAGAGGUUCCUGAUAUUUACUCAUGUAUGCAUAGGCCCUAAACCCAUUUGUUUAUUUUUAAUUGUAUGCUUUUGCAGUUUAUGACAAGAAAUUGAGCGACCAAAUAUUUAGGCAAAUUUUAGUCCAUUUGUUUAUUUUUAAUUGUAUGCUUAUGCAGUUAUGACAAGAAAUUGAGGGACCAAAUAUUUAGGGAAGUGUAGGUUAACUUCCUUCUAUACUAGCGUGUCGGUCGACAACUCGUAUUAUUAUUUUUUGUAUAAAAGACCAUACAAUUAGCGAUAAUAUUAUUUUAUUAUGGACGAACGAGUGCUAAUAUAUUCUCUGAUUCGUAAUCAACUUCUAAGCUCAGAACUCGGGUUUAAAGACUAUUUUAUCCAAUUUGGCAUAAAAGAUAGCUUUAUACAUUUUAACCACUAAAAAAUAACGGCGAAUCCAAAUAUGUUGGGAGAGAUGAAGUUGAAUUCACUUCUUCCCAAGUCUAGAGUCGGUUUCCAACUGAAAAUCGAGUAUGACAACUCGCGACUCUACUGUGGACACAUCCUCAUAAGAGAAUUUGACUGAUAGCCACACGAGCUAAAAUACCCUUACCUUGUUAAAAAAAUAUUUAUCUAUUUUUUUCCUAAUCUAAUUAAUUAUUUGUACAUACUCAUCCAUUUUCUUAUGUAGUUUUUUGGGUUGAAAUUUAUUUUUAAUAAAGGUUUGUACACUUUCUCAAACACAAUCACAAUAUGCUUGCUUACACAUACAUAUAUCGUAAACCUGGAUAUUACUGAUUUUGAGAUAGAGGGAACAUCUCUGUUGAUGUUUUCCACACUCUUUCCAUUUCAGUUAUUUUUGCUUUGCCUAUCAAGAAAGCCAUCGACCAAUUCUUUUGCAAAUCUUUUCAUAACUUUGGUAGGCAAGCAAAUUAGUACUACCAUGCCAUCUUCCCCUCUUGAAUUUUUACUCAAGACAUGGUAGUGUGCUCCAAAAAAGGAACCUGCUCCAGCUUUAGCUUGUCCACCAUAUAAAGACUUACCCCAUCCAAAAUCCACAUCUCUAUACCCAAGACGUGUUACAUCUGAUACAAUGCUAGUUCCAG